RNAcentral lists this ribosomal RNA (468 nucleotides) under uncultured bacterium. Its description in RNAcentral is "partial 16S ribosomal RNA". It matches the Rfam family "Bacterial small subunit ribosomal RNA", at positions 28 to 507 of the family's 1533-position model. The record is from RNAcentral.
GACGAACGCUGGCGGCGUGCUUAACACAUGCAAGUCGAACGGAAAGGCCCUGCUUUUGUGGGGUGCUCGAGUGGCGAACGGGUGAGUAACACGUGAGUAACCUGCCCUUGACUUUGGGAUAACUUCAGGAACCUGGGGCUAAUACCGGAUAGGAGCUCCUGCUGCAUGGUGGGGGUUGGAAAGUUUCGGCGGUUGGGGAUGGACUCGCGGCUUAUCAGCUUGUUGGGGGGGUAGUGGCUUACCAAGGCUUUGACGGGUAGCCGGCCUGAGAGGGUGACCGGCCACAUUGGGACUGAGAUACGGCCCAGACUCCUACGGGAGGCAGCAGUGGGGAAUAUUGCACAAUGGGCGGAAGCCUGAUGCAGCAACGCCGCGUGCGGGAUGACGGCCUUCGGGUUGUAAACCGCUUUCGCCUGUGACGAAGCGUGAGUGACGGUAAUGGGUAAAGAAGCACCGGCUAACUACGUG